GAUGAACGCUGGCGGCGUGCCUAACACAUGCAAGUCGAGCGAACCCUUCGGGGUGAGCGGCGGACGGGUGAGUAACGCGUGGGUAACCUGCCCUAUACACACGGAUAACGUACCGAAAGGUACGCUAAUACGAGAUAACAUAUUUUUAUCGCAUGGUAGAAAUAUCAAAGCUCCGGCGGUAUAGGAUGGACCCGCGUCUGAUUAGCUAGUUGGUGAGGUAAUGGCUCACCAAGGCGACGAUCAGUAGCCGACCUGAGAGGGUGAUCGGCCACAUUGGAACUGAGACACGGUCCAAACUCCUACGGGAGGCAGCAGUGGGGAAUAUUGCACAAUGGGCGAAAGCCUGAUGCAGCAACGCCGCGUGAGCGAUGAAGGCCUUCGGUCGUAAAGCUCUGUUCUCAAGGAAGAUAAUGACGGUACUUGAGGAGGAAGCCCCGGCUAACUACGUG
RNAcentral lists this ribosomal RNA (449 nucleotides) under uncultured bacterium. Its description in RNAcentral is "bacterial SSU rRNA". It matches the Rfam family "Bacterial small subunit ribosomal RNA", at positions 28 to 507 of the family's 1533-position model. The record is from RNAcentral.